GACGAACGCUGGCGGCGUGCCUAAUACAUGCAAGUUGAGCGCUGAAGGUUGGUACUUGUACCAACUGGAUGAGCAGCGAACGGGUGAGUAACGCGUGGGGAAUCUGCCUUUGAGCGGGGGACAACAUUUGGAAACGAAUGCUAAUACCGCAUAAAAACUUUAAACACAAGUUUUAAGUUUGAAAGAUGCAAUUGCAUCACUCAAAGAUGAUCCCGCGUUGUAUUAGCUAGUUGGUGAGGUAAAGGCUCACCAAGGCGAUGAUACAUAGCCGACCUGAGAGGGUGAUCGGCCACAUUGGGACUGAGACACGGCCCAAACUCCUACGGGAGGCAGCAGUAGGGAAUCUUCGGAAAUGGACGAAAGUCUGACCGAGCAACCCCGCGUGAGUGAAGAAGGUUUUCGGAUCGUAAAACUCUGUUGGUAGAGAAGAACGUUGGUGAGAGUGGAAAGCUCAUCAAGUGACGGUAACUACCCAGAAAGGGACGGCUAACUACGUG
This 497-nucleotide ribosomal RNA is filed under the name uncultured bacterium. Its description in RNAcentral is "partial 16S ribosomal RNA". It matches the Rfam family "Bacterial small subunit ribosomal RNA", at positions 28 to 507 of the family's 1533-position model. The record is from RNAcentral.